UACGGAGGGUGCAAGCGUUAUCCGGAUUUACUGGGUUUAAAGGGUGUGUAGGCGGACUAUUAAGUCAGUGGUGAAAUCCCGAGGCUCAACCUCGGAACUGCCUUUGAUACUAUUAGUCUUGAAUGUUGUUGAGGUGGGCGGAACGGGUCAUGUAGCGGUGAAAUGUAUAGAUAUGACCCGGAACACCGAUUGCGAAGGCAGCCCGCUAAGCAACUAUUGACGCUGAGGCACGAAAGCGUGGGGAUCAAACAGG
RNAcentral lists this ribosomal RNA (253 nucleotides) under uncultured bacterium. RNAcentral describes it as "partial 16S ribosomal RNA". It matches the Rfam family "Bacterial small subunit ribosomal RNA", at positions 524 to 776 of the family's 1533-position model. The record is from RNAcentral.